CUAAAGAGGUAGGAAUUGAACC
This 22-nucleotide transfer RNA is filed under the name Abavorana luctuosa (mahogany frog). RNAcentral's name for it is "partial tRNA-Glx". Lineage: Eukaryota; Metazoa; Chordata; Amphibia; Anura; Ranidae. The record is from RNAcentral.